UACGUAGGGUGCAAGCGUUAAUCGGAAUUACUGGGCGUAAAGCGUGCGCAGGCGGUUUUGUAAGUCUGACGUGAAAUCCCCGGGCUCAACCUGGGAAUUGCGUUGGAGACUGCAAGGCUGGAGUCUGGCAGAGGGGGGGUAGAAUUCCACGUGUAGCAGUGAAAUGCGUAGAGAUGUGGAGGAACACCGAUGGCGAAGGCAGCCCCCUGGGUCAAGACUGACGCUCAUGCACGAAAGCGUGGGGAGCAAACGAGGAUUAGAAACCCGUU
Molecule: ribosomal RNA, 269 nt
Filed under: uncultured bacterium
Lineage: Bacteria
Description: partial 16S ribosomal RNA
Rfam family: Bacterial small subunit ribosomal RNA
Source: RNAcentral